UUGCUUCUGCAGCACAUAUACUAAAAUUGGAAUGAUACAGAGAAGAUAAGCAUAUCCCCUGCUCAAGGAUGACACACAAAUUCAUAAGGAGUUUCAUAUUUAA
RNAcentral lists this small nuclear RNA (103 nucleotides) under Sciurus vulgaris (Eurasian red squirrel). The record is from RNAcentral. Lineage: Eukaryota; Metazoa; Chordata; Mammalia; Rodentia; Sciuridae.